AUUGAACGCUGGCGGCAGGCCUAACACAUGCAAGUCGAGCGGAGCGGCGGACGGGUGAGUAAGGCCUAGGAAUCAGCCUGGUAGUGGGGGAUAACGUCCGGCAACGGGCGCUAAUACAGCACACUAUAAGUUGAGCCUAGGUCGGAUUAGCUAGUUGGUGGGGUAAAGGCCUACCAAGGCGACGAUCCGUAACUGGUCUGAGAGGAUGAUCAGUCACACUGGAACUGAGACACGGUCCAGACUCCUACGGGAGGCAGCAGUGGGGAAUAUUGGACAAUGGGCGAAAGCCUGAUCCAGCCAUGCCGCGUGUGUGAAGAAGGUCUUCGGAUUGUAAAGCACUUUAAGUUGGGAGGCGUUACCCGCAGAAGAAGCACCGGCUAACUCCGUGCCAGCAGCCGCGGUAAUUC
Molecule: ribosomal RNA, 407 nt
Filed under: uncultured bacterium
Lineage: Bacteria
Description: partial 16S ribosomal RNA
Rfam family: Bacterial small subunit ribosomal RNA
Source: RNAcentral